GCUGAGGCUUCAUUCCACCUUUAACAGAAUGUGUCAUGAUUUGACUGAAGUUUACUGAAAGAAGUAGCAAGCAGAAAAGUCAGCUAGCACACAAAUAGACUUGUGCCCUUCAAACUAAUGAGCUUACCAGUGGCAUUCUCUGGAAUUGGUGCUCUUUUGGAAUUGCGAGGAACUUUUAUACCAGUUGUAUGUUGUUGUGCUUAAAGCUGUUGUAUUAACAGAAGUGUAAGAGAAAGCUUCUCUUGGCCUGCCAUGAGGACAUUAUCCAGCAGGUGGAGUUUGACAGGAUGGUGUGCACAGGCCAAGUAGACAAGGGCGAACAAGUUACUGGCACUCAGGAGCUGAAGAUUGCAUGAGCAUUGAACACCUAAUAGAUUGGCACAUAAGGUAAUCAGUAAUGCUUCCUCCAGCUAUUCAAAAUUAAGUGGGGGGGGGGGGGGGGGGAAGAUCAGUGAGCAUCAUGGCUGCUUGCCGACUUUAAAUCCUAAUACAGAAUAGGUGGUGACUUUCAUGUUGUAGAGGAUAAGAACAUUGGUGUGAACAUGGCAUUAAAAUCUGCACGAUGUAACCAUCAGUGAGUUGCAAACGUUUAAAAUUGCAAGCAUCUACAAAAUAAGUAUAUUAUGAGAACCA
Molecule: long non-coding RNA, 633 nt
Filed under: Gallus gallus (chicken)
Lineage: Eukaryota; Metazoa; Chordata; Aves; Galliformes; Phasianidae
Description: long non-coding RNA NONGGAT005773
Source: RNAcentral